CGGGAACUCAAAGGAGACUGCCAGUGAUAAACUGGAGGAAGGUGGGGAUGACGUCAAGUCAUCAUGGCCCUUACGAGUAGGGCUACACACGUGCUACAAUGGCAUAUACAAAGAGAAGCGACCUCGCGAGAGCAAGCGGACCUCAUAAAGUAUGUCGUAGUCCGGAUCGGAGUCUGCAACUCGACUCCGUGAAGUCGGAAUCGCUAGUAAUCGUGGAUCAGAAUGCCACGGUGAAUACGUUCCCGGGCCUUGUACACACCGCCCGUCACACCAUGGGAGUGGGUUGCAAAAGAAGUAGGUAGCUUAACCUUCGGGAGGGCGCUUACCACUUUGUGAUUCAUGACUGGGGUGAAGUCGUAACAAGGUAACCGUAGGGGAACCUGCGGUUGGAUCACCUCCUUA
Molecule: ribosomal RNA, 402 nt
Filed under: Klebsiella terrigena
Lineage: Bacteria; Pseudomonadati; Pseudomonadota; Gammaproteobacteria; Enterobacterales; Enterobacteriaceae
Also listed under: 3 other names
Description: bacterial SSU rRNA
Rfam family: Bacterial small subunit ribosomal RNA
Source: RNAcentral